AAAUUGAAGAGUUUGAUCAUGGCUCAGAUUGAACGCUGGCGGCAGGCCUAACACAUGCAAGUCGAGCGGUAGCACAGAAGAGCUUGCUCUUCGGGUGACGAGCGGCGGACGGGUGAGUAAUGUCUGGGAAACUGCCUGAUGGAGGGGGAUAACUACUGGAAACGGUAGCUAAUACCGCAUAACGUCGCAAGACCAAAGUGGGGGACCUUCGGGCCUCAUGCCAUCAGAUGUGCCCAGAUGGGAUUAGCUAGUAGGUGGGGUAAUGGCUCACCUAGGCGACGAUCCCUAGCUGGUCUGAGAGGAUGACCAGCCACACUGGAACUGAGACACGGUCCAGACUCCUACGGGAGGCAGCAGUGGGGAAUAUUGCACAAUGGGCGAAAGCCUGAUGCAGCCAUGCCGCGUGUAUGAAGAAGGCCUUCGGGUUGUAAAGUACUUUCAGCGAGGAGGAAGGCGAUAAGGUUAAUAACCUUGU
This 475-nucleotide ribosomal RNA is filed under the name Klebsiella planticola. RNAcentral's name for it is "bacterial SSU rRNA". It matches the Rfam family "Bacterial small subunit ribosomal RNA", at positions 1 to 472 of the family's 1533-position model. Lineage: Bacteria; Pseudomonadati; Pseudomonadota; Gammaproteobacteria; Enterobacterales; Enterobacteriaceae. The record is from RNAcentral.